Molecule: ribosomal RNA, 607 nt
Filed under: uncultured bacterium
Lineage: Bacteria
Description: bacterial SSU rRNA
Rfam family: Bacterial small subunit ribosomal RNA
Source: RNAcentral
CCUACGGGAGGCAGCAGUAGGGAAUCUUCCGCAAUGGACGAAAGUCUGACGGAGCAACGCCGCGUGAACGAUGAAGGCCUUCGGGUCGUAAAGUUCUGUUGUUAGGGAAGAACAAGUGUUAGUUGAAUAAGCUGGCACCUUGACGGUACCUAACCAGAAAGCCACGGCUAACUACGUGCCAGCAGCCGCGGUAAUACGUAGGUGGCAAGCGUUGUCCGGAAUUAUUGGGCGUAAAGCGCGCGCAGGCGGUUUCUUAAGUCUGAUGUGAAAGCCCCCGGCUCAACCGGGGAGGGUCAUUGGAAACUGGGAAACUUGAGUGCAGAAGAGGAAAGUGGAAUUCCAAGUGUAGCGGUGAAAUGCGUAGAGAUUUGGAGGAACACCAGUGGCGAAGGCGACUUUCUGGUCUGUAACUGACGCUGAGGCGCGAAAGCGUGGGGAGCAAACAGGAUUAGAUACCCUGGUAGUCCACGCUGUAAACGAUGAGUGCUAAGUGUUAGAGGGUUUCCGCCCUUUAGUGCUGAAGUUAACGCAUUAAGCACUCCGCCUGGGGANCGGUCGCAAGCUGAACUUAANGAAUUGNGNGNGNGAGNGCGAGNGCAGAGGAGAG